This 791-nucleotide long non-coding RNA is filed under the name Nicotiana benthamiana. RNAcentral's name for it is "long non-coding RNA (NBEN_LNC028526)". Lineage: Eukaryota; Viridiplantae; Streptophyta; Magnoliopsida; Solanales; Solanaceae. The record is from RNAcentral.
AAGAUGAUUGAAGCAAUAUGUAGAAGUUUUGUUUGGUCUGGAUCAAAUUCCAAUAAAAAAGCUUAUGUAUCUUAGGACAGAAUGUGUACUCCUAAAUCAGCUAGUGGAAUGAACCUUAUCAAUCUUCUACUAUGGAACAAGGCUGCAAUUGCAAAAAUUUGCUGGGAUCUAGCUCACAAGAAAGACAAACUGUGGAUAAAUGCUUACUAUGUUAAACAACACCAGGUAGAAACAAUGCCAAUCCCUUCACAGGCAAGUUGGAUGGUCAGGAGAUUAAUAGCAUCCCGAGAUAUCCUGCAGAAAUUUCAAAGCUGGAGGUGGCCAGAUUGCUCUAUCAGACAGUUAUAUCUCUUGCAGUUAGGAGAUCUCCCGAGAGUCCCAUGGAAGAACCUAAUCAUCCAGAAUUAUGCUAGACCUAAAGCUGUGUUCAAUUUCUGGCUAAUGUUACAGGGCAGAUUACCAACCAAGGACAGAUUAGCUAACUGGGGACUGAAUAUAGACCAACACUGUGUUUUAUGCCAUAUUGAGACAAAAGAUCAUCUUAGAUUAGCUAACUAGGGACUGAAUAUAGACCAACACUGUGUUUUAUGCCAUAGCCAUGUUGAGACAAGAGAUCAUCUGAUACUAUCCUGUCCUUUUUCAACUGAGGUAUGGGAGCAAGCAAUGCAUUGGAUUCAAGAGAAUCAUCCAAAGACAUAUACUUGGGAUCAAAAACUCCACUGGUUCAUCAGUAAAGCUAAAGGGAAAUCAUGCAGUGCCAAUAUAUUCAAAAUGAUGAUUGCUGAAGUAUC